UUGUUCUACAUUUAGAUUGACUUUCAAUAAGCUGCAAGAUUCAGGAGUGAAAAUACUGUGUGCAGCCUUGAGGAAUCCAGACUGUAAAAUACAGGAACUGAAACUGGACUAUAGUCUGGUUCUUGUGCUGAAGACCUUGCUGCUGCUCUCACGGUGAACCAGUCACUAACACUUCUGGAUCUGGGUCAUGAUGAGCUGGGAGAUGUUGGAGUGAAACUAUUGUCUGUAGCUCUGAAGAAUCCGCACUGCAAAAUACAGACACUGAGCCUUGAAAUGAAUGGCAUCACAGAUUCUUGUACAGAGGAUCUCUCCUCAGCUCUCAGUAUGAACCAGUCACUAACACUGCUGAUCUUGAAUUCAAACUCCUUCACCGACCUGUCUGUUCCCACCCUCCAGGGCCUAGUCCACACCUGCAGGAAUCUGAAGCAUAUCCAGCUGAAGAGCAAUAUAUUCAGCCCAAACGGAAGAGGACAAUUGGAGACACUAAAGGGAUCCCGACUGUGUGUGACGAUCUAAACAGUUCAAUUUAUACCCUUCGCUGCUCACUGCGUGAUUGCUUCCAGCCAAGUCACUCAGUUUCCCCUACCUGUCUGGCCUUGAAGGAAAUGUGACAGCAACACAUGCAAACAGCACUCAUUUUUGGAGGUGCUGAAGGGAGGAGAAGGAAUCACCGCAUCCAGCCUCUUACUUCUCUCCGCCGCUCUGAGUUCUGUAGAAUGUGCUGAGCCAGACAUAGUAUCUGCCAUCUGGUGACCCGGCCCUUCUGGGACAUUGCCACCAAUAAUUACAGGAGUACAGGCCAGGUCGAGGCAUCCCCUUCAGCCUGGUUGCAGGGUGCUUUUCUUCUUAAAGAUUCAAUUCUGAAUUCAGAUAAUAAGCGAUGAGACUGAAUUAAACGACACCCCAAAGGCUGGAGUAAUUUUAAUGCAGAAAUAAAGCAUGAAGUCACAAUAUAAUUAAUUCAUACAAACUUCCCUCCAGGAAGGGCACGUCCCAUUGCAUGCAGAGAAGGAGCAGGAGCAGCCCUCUUGCAGGAGCAGCCCUCCGAAAGCUUGUGAUUUCCAAUAACCUGGUGUUGUGUGACUUCUGACCUUGUCUACCCAAGUCCAACACCAGCAUCUCUACAUAAGCAAGAGUAUUUGUCUUAGUUCCCAGUGAUAACAUGUGAAUAAAAUAAAGACUUGAAAUAAUUAUAACUCAAAAAUGACAAGUUAGCCAUUUUACAGGAAUAAGAAAAAACUAACAAUAGAGUUGGCGAGAACAGAUAAUCAGAAACAGGAAGCAUUGUGCGUGUUCCUACACUAAAUGCGCUCCAGCGAUUCAAGAAGGCAGCUCACCACCAUAUCCUAUGAUAUCAUUCGAAGGGCAACUAGGUAUAGAUCAUAGUAUUGCCAUCAGUUAUUAUUAGCUGAUAACAAAGCACCCAUUCACUCUCUUAGAUGAAUUGCAACAUUGAGAACAGGAGAAACUAAAUCUGGCUAUAGUUGUACACAGCCUUGAUGAGAUGCGAUCUGUAAUAUCCUUUUUGGAGGGAAAGAUAUGCAUACAUAAGGAAAUACAAUAAAGGUUAAUUAGAAUGUGCAUGUGAUAGUGGGAUUCUCUGUUAAGGAGAGAUUGAGGUGACUGGAAUGCUUGAAAAUGAGGUGAUUUCUCUUUGAGUUAAACAAAAUUCUGAGAAACCUCAGAAGGGCAAAUGCAGUUAGGAUGCCCUUGUUGGCAUGUGCAUUUAAAGCGAAGGGAAGAGUGUAUCAGAAUAAGAAGUCGACAUUUUUAGGAUGAGAAGAGGAUUAUUUUUGCUGGGGAGUUGAAUCUUCAAUUUCACAAUUACUGGAGUAAUGGAGGAUGAGUCAUAGAAUGCUUACAGUGCAGAAGGAAGCUUUUCAACCCAUCAGGUCUGCACUGAUUCUCUGAAAAGCAUAUCACACAGACAGAUCCCAGUGCCCUACCGCAUUUCCCAUAGCUAACCCAUAUAGCCUUUAUGUCCCUGGACACUAAUGUGGUAAAAUAGCAUAACCAAUCCACUGAUAAAGAAAGACGUUUUCUCGUGCCAAUCAAAAGUGUGGUCUUAAUGAUCCAGCUACCAAAUUGAGAAUCAAUGCACUCACAUGCGAUUAGGGGAAAGUGAGGAAUGCAGUUGCUGGAGAUCAGAGUCGAAAUUGUGGGCAUAAUGACGUUUUAGGCAUAAGCUUUUGCCUGAAACCUUGAUUCUCCUGCUUCUUGGAUGCUGCUUACACUGCUGUGCUUUUCCAGAACCACAUACCACUCAUGUACAAGGUCAUGCGAUCACCAAAACCCAAGGCAAAAGAACUGGGAGCAAUAGAUUAAUUCUACCUGUUUUUGCUUGGACUUUGACCCGCAGAUGUUCUGUUUUUUUUUUGCCUAUAUUAACUACCCACAGGUUUUCUACAAACAGAUGCUUGACAAUCCACCCAUUCAAUAUCUGAGAGUCAGAGUGUCACUCAGGACAGAAUAGGCCUUUCAGCCCAUUGAGUGCACCGAUGAAGUCAUCUAUUGUAUUUACACUCAUUUCAUAUUGUUUAUUUGGAUUUAAUUGGGGAACAGUUUACGUUUGAGUUAAUAAUGGAUUGUUUUCACCACACAUUAAGAACUAAAGUGCACUUUGAGAAAUAUAUUUUCUCUUUACCUGUUCAUUAAUAUAACAGAGUCAUUGCAUACAUUCAAGACAGGGAUUGAUUUUAAUAGUUUUAAAGCAAUUUACAUGAAAUAGGGAUAGUGAGCAAUGGCAUAACAGGGUCAAGGAAGAAGACAUGGUACACUGGCUGUUUGCACAUCCUAUGUUAUUCCUGCUGCUGGAUCUGAGAACACAGUGUGCACAAGACUAGCUUCACAUCAGAAAGCAAUAUAUUAUGGAAACACAAAUAUCAGAACCACAAUAAAAUAUUGAUGGUUAACAAAUUGCCAGAACAAAUUCACAUGAUCAUGAAUAAUAUUUGACAAUCAGAUGACUAAACA
This is a long non-coding RNA of Hemiscyllium ocellatum (epaulette shark), 2973 nucleotides long. RefSeq lists it as uncharacterized. Lineage: Eukaryota; Metazoa; Chordata; Chondrichthyes; Orectolobiformes; Hemiscylliidae. The transcript has 4 exons. The record is from RefSeq and is a predicted model, not a curated record.